Molecule: ribosomal RNA, 467 nt
Filed under: uncultured bacterium
Lineage: Bacteria
Description: partial 16S ribosomal RNA
Rfam family: Bacterial small subunit ribosomal RNA
Source: RNAcentral
GACGAACGCUGGCGGCGUGCUUAACACAUGCAAGUCGAACGGAAAGGCCCUGCUUUUGUGGGGUGCUCGAGUGGCGAACGGGUGAGUAACACGUGAGUAACCUGCCCUUGACUUUGGGAUAACUUCAGGAAACUGGGGCUAAUACCGGAUAGGAGCUCCUGCUGCAUGGUGGGGGUUGGAAAGUUUCGGCGGUUGGGGAUGGACUCGCGGCUUAUCAGCUUGUUGGUGGGGUAGUGGCUUACCAAGGCUUUGACGGGUAGCCGGCCUGAGAGGGUGACCGGCCACAUGGGGACUGAGAUACGGCCCAGACUCCUACGGGAGGCAGCAGUGAGAAUAUUGCACAAUGGGCGGAAGCCUGAUGCAGCAACGCCGCGUGCGGGAUGACGGCCUUCGGGUUGUAAACCGCUUUCGCCUGUGACGAAGCGUGAGUGACGGUAAUGGGUAAAGAAGCACCGGCUAACUACGUG